UACAUGAGGGAGGGGGAAGGUAAAUAAAUAUUUAAUUAUCAAUAAUUCAAAAGCUAAAUUGUUAUAUAAAUGUAUGCAUUCUCUUGUCAUAUGAUGAAUUUCAUGAUUUUUUAUCAUUUCAGAUGCAAUCUGAGCCUUGUUCUGAAUUUCAAAAUCCCCUUUGACAACACCUGCACAGCUGAGAAAUCAAGGACCUUCUGACUAAGGGCUGAAUUAUAGUGAACACUGCCAUUCAGAGACUUUGAAACAGAUUGAUGAAUCAACUACAUGCAUUAUGUCAGAGGAUUUAGCUGGAGCAAAUAUUUAGCAGCCAGGACACAUAGAUGUACCUGUACAGUUGAUACAGAUAAUCUCAAUGGCACAUUUCUAAAUGAUGGCCAAAAAAAAAUCUAAUAAAGACACUGUCAGUUUAAAACUCUUUGAAAAGAAAAAGAAAUCCAGACCAGAAACAAAGGAUAUUGAUUUUUAAGCUCCUCCAAAUCUAAAAGGGGUUUUAUUGAAACCAAGACUAGGAUACACCCAAGGAUGUUGAAUAUUACACCCCUUCAACAUAAAAUUUUGAAUUUUAGUUUGCCUAUCUAGUCAAGA
Long non-coding RNA from Saccostrea cuccullata (small rock oyster), 588 nucleotides. RefSeq lists it as uncharacterized. The transcript has 3 exons. NCBI's taxonomy places the organism in Eukaryota, Metazoa, Mollusca, Bivalvia, Ostreida, Ostreidae. The record is from RefSeq and is a predicted model, not a curated record.